UCCCCUGCUUGGCUCUAUUUCUUGAGAGCUGAGUGAGGAUCUAGGAUCCAUUUUUCCAGCAAAGGGUGGACCUGGCGAUCCUUCAAGGUCCUGGUCUGUUCUUUGUCCUGUCAUUGAAAGUGAAACUGUAAAACAAAUGGAGUUGAUUCUGCCCUUUAAGUGUAGAAAGAGAACAUACUCUGUUUUUCCGGAAUAUGGAGAACUAGCCACAUCCUGAAUCACACCCCUCUAAGCCAACAGCUAAUGGCACAGUGACAAUUUCACAGACAGGCUGUGUCAUCUUCAUAGAUGAUUACAGGCAGCUCCAUGACCUUCACACCCAGCUUGGCUGCUGUGGCUAAAAUGACCCCCACGCUGGGACAGGGCCUGGUGUCAGCCCAAAUAAACAACUGGCACGGUGGGGCCUGGACAGGAGCCCCAGUUCCCCCACAUCUGUCAGGCACUGGGGUGACUUGUGCAGCACUGCGAGAUCUCUGCUGCAGAAACUUGAGCUGUGACGCUGAGCAGAGCUGGAGUUAGUGAAUGGGAAGCAGGAUUCAGCACGCUUCAGGGUGGUUUGAAGAGCCAGGAAGCACUGGGGCUGUUUAAUUGAAAGUAACUGUAUAAAAAAAAGGAAUUAAUUCUUAUUAAACACCCACAGUGACAUUUUCUUAAGUGGAAAUUAAACAGGGAUUAAGGUGAAGCCUCCUAAGACUCUCCCUGUUGUGAUCAAGAAUAUUUUAAGGCAAGAGCACCAGGCCACGUUAAAUUUGAAGAAAUGAACUGAUCUGGAUGCACUCCGGUGCCUUUCCCUCUCUCCGUCCUGCUGCUCAGGGGAGCAGAGGCAGCUGGAUGUAGUGGGGUGCUAUGCAAAGAGAUGGUCUUAAACUGAGGGGGCCUCCUCAGAGCCCUGGCCUCUCAGCCAUGUUCUCAAGUGCUGCCUGAAACGGGAAGGGAAAAGAAAUGCUUUGUAAUGGAAACCCUAGAUAAAACAAGAAACGACAUUUUCCUUUGUGGUCCCCCCAGUGCUCUUGCCUGUACUUGGAGGAGGCCAUACUCCCCGUCUGCCUUUUGGGGAACCAGCAGAAAGUGUCCCUCGCAGGGAGGAUGCAGUGACGGUGGAGCAGAUGGAGCUGCUCAACCCCUCGCACCAGCGAUGCCAAGGCACGGAGGCACCCAGGGAGCAAGUGACAGGAGUCAAGGUCAAGCAAGUCAGGAGCUGCCAGAUUGAGAGACGUGGUUCUUCUUGCCUGUGUCACUGCUGCUGCUCCCUUCAGCCAUGGGACUUCGCAGAAAACUCUCCUGGAAGAUGCCUUUACUGCCAUAACCCUCUGGCUGGGUGUGUCGCCGCAGGGCUGACACAGCUCACUCAGAUGAGGUGACACAUGGCACGUGCCACCACGAUGCUCCCAGACAGAGGUCAGAGGGCUGCCCGCCCCCCUGCCCACCUCCCCUGCUUGCUCCCCUGCCUGCACAUGCAAGUGCUCCUACCUUCCCUCUGGAGACCCUGAGCUCUAGCAGCCCUUGCAGGGAUUCAGGGACUUUGUAGCUUGUGUCAGCCUGCUAAUCACAGCCUUUCUUGACCCCACCUCCUGGAGGAAGCUCAGCACCAAGCCCAUGGGCUGGAUUUUUCAAGAAGUUGGGCUAGUCUAAGACUGCAGUCCUGAGUGUUUAAUUGGCGUUAGCCGAGGGGAAGCAUGGCACAGCAGAGCUCUGAAGGGCCACCAACCCUUCUGCCCAUAACAGCAGAAGACGAGCCCCAUCCGAGCUGUCAGCAUGCUUGAGAAAGAACUGGGGGUGGAAGAGUUGCAGAGAGAUGCAGGGUCAUGGGCAAGGAGCUGAGCAGAGAGGGCACCAGGGCACCUGGUGGGCACCGGGAUUCCUCCAUCCUCCUUCAAGUGCAGGCUGGGCAAACUCCGGUCACUGCCUAUUGAUGCACUGGGGGAGGAGCAAGGAGGGAGCCAAGGCUGUCUCUGAAG
Long non-coding RNA from Anser cygnoides (Swan goose), 1958 nucleotides. NCBI's taxonomy places the organism in Eukaryota, Metazoa, Chordata, Aves, Anseriformes, Anatidae. The record is from Ensembl.